CGUGUAGGCGGCCAAACAGGUCCGUUGUGAAACUGGAGGCUUAACCUCCAGACGUCGACGGAAACCGUGUGGCUAGAGUCCGGAAGAGGAGAGUGGAAUUCCUGGUGUAGCGGUGAAAUGCGCAGAUAUCAGGAAGAACACCAAUGGCGAAGGCAGCUCUCUGGGACGGUACUGACGCUGAGACGCGAAAGCGUGGGGAGCGAACAG
Molecule: ribosomal RNA, 207 nt
Filed under: uncultured bacterium
Lineage: Bacteria
Description: partial 16S ribosomal RNA
Rfam family: Bacterial small subunit ribosomal RNA
Source: RNAcentral